RNAcentral lists this ribosomal RNA (465 nucleotides) under uncultured bacterium. Its description in RNAcentral is "partial 16S ribosomal RNA". It matches the Rfam family "Bacterial small subunit ribosomal RNA", at positions 28 to 507 of the family's 1533-position model. The record is from RNAcentral.
GACGAACGCUGGCGGCGUGCUUAACACAUGCAAGUCGAACGGAAAGGCCCUGCUUGCAGGGUACUCGAGUGGCGAACGGGUGAGUAACACGUGGGUGAUCUGCCCUGCACUUCGGGAUAAGCCUGGGAAACUGGGUCUAAUACCGGAUAGGAGCCAUUUUUAGUGUGAUGGUUGGAAAGUUUUUUCGGUGUAGGAUGAGCUGGCGGCCUAUCAGCUUGUUGGUGGGGUAAUGGCCUACCAAGGCGGCGACGGGUAGCCGGCCUGAGAGGGUGGACGGCCACAUUGGGACUGAGAUACGGCCCAGACUCCGACGGGAGGCAGCAGUGGGGAAUAUUGCACAAUGGGCGCAAGCCUGAUGCAGCGACGCCGCGUGGGGGAUGACGGCCUUCGGGUUGUAAACUCCUUUCGCUAGGGACGAAGCUUUUUGUGACGGUACCUAGAUAAGAAGCACCGGCUAACUACGUG